This is a non-coding RNA of Nothobranchius furzeri (turquoise killifish), 5732 nucleotides long. The record is from RefSeq and is a predicted model, not a curated record. NCBI's taxonomy places the organism in Eukaryota, Metazoa, Chordata, Actinopteri, Cyprinodontiformes, Nothobranchiidae.
CCCAUCAGAUGGCGUCUACCGGAAAUUACGUAACCGGAAAAACAAGACUUUUUUUCUCAAAACUCCGGAAAACAGUUGUUCUGCUGGAGGACAGUCUGCACUUUUUUUUUAUUUAGUAAAUUUACAAACAAAUAUGGCACUUUGACAAUGUUAAGUCCAAAACUCAAAUUCAAAAGGAGCAGUUAACUUGCUAUAACAUUUGUAAAUAUCCAUUAAAAGACAACAACAAGAAACAAAAGAGCAUAAAGAACAAGUUGAGUACAGCUUUCAAUGAGGGUACAGCAUUUAUCAUAGAAUUAGGAACUCACUUUGGAAGUUCAGCUAACAUGUUAUAUAGAUUUUCGCUAUAUUUGUUGAAGUGUUUCAGGGGUUUUAAAUAUAUUUGAAAUUCUAUUAAAAAACAUUGAAGACAGGGGAUGAUUGUAAAAUUCGUUGUUUAUGGAUGGAAAGUUUGGCUAAACAGAGGAUGAUAUUAUAGCAGAGUUCUUUAUCUUUAUUAUUGAAUAUAAUUCCAAAUAUUAUCAUAUCGUUAGUGAUGUGAACUAGGAUGGGUAUUUUAGUUUUGAUCCACACCUCUAGCUUUUUCCAGAACAAAUGUGUUUUCUGACAUUCGUAAAAUAUAUGAUCUACAGUUUCUAUGUGAUUUUCGCAAAAAGAGCAGUUGUUGCUAUCAAUAUUAAAACGAGCUCUUAACACUUCUUUUGAAGGAUAGAUUGCAUUCAUUAUUUUAAAGUGGGUUUCUUUAGCUUUCGGUGGUAUAGGUAAUUUUAGGUAGAUAGUUCUUAUUUUCUCAACAGACGUUUUAUCAAAUUUGUAAAUUAUGUUAUUUUCGUUUGUUUUUCCAGGAAAUAGAGAUUCAUUUAAGGCUGAUCUUAUUGUAAGAUUGUUGCAUUUUCUGUCAGUUAACAGAAGACCUUUAAUAGAUAAGAUAGGAAGGGUUGGAAUAGAACAUUGAUGUUUUAGAUAUUCUCGGGCUUGGAUGAUAAAUUGUUUUGGAAGUGCAUUAUGUAACCUGUUAAAGUCAAGUUCAGAAGCUUUAAAAUUGUAUCUUCUGCAGAGAUUGUCAUAAUUCAAGAGCUGACCAUCUUCAUCCAUUAAGUGUAUAAUAGACCAUAUAUUGUUAUCUAACUAAUCUUUAUAGAAUAGUGAUUUGUUUUGGAGCAAUAUCAAUUGAUUGUUCCAAAUGAUUAUAGAGUAUGGUGAGUAGUUAUGUACAUAUAUCAUUUUCCAAUACAAUAAAAUUUGUUUAUGGAACUCUGAAAGUUUGAUGGGGAGUUUGUUUAUUUUGUAGUCAGUUAGGAGAAGAAUGUUUUAGCCAGAAAAACAAGACAUCGGGUCAUUACCUUUGCAGGAAGUAGUUUGGAUUUGACGAGAAAAACCGUACAUGUCGUUUUUCACUUAGAUAUGUAUACAUAUCUGUUAUGUAUACAUAUCUAAGAGAAAAAUGAUACGGUGGGUCAUUACCUUAACCAGAAGUCAUUACUUUCACAGGAAGUAGUUUUUUUAAACAGAACUUACCGGAAAAAGCUUUUUUUUAUUUCAGUUUUUUUUUCUCUUCAAAUUUGGACUGGCAAACUUUUAAAUAACUUCAUUACCUACGUUGAAAAUUGAAUAGUAAAUCCCUUUGUCCUUCACACAGGGAAUUUUUAUGACAGUAGCACAUAUAUAUGAUAAUUACAAUAAAAGGCUGUAAAGUAAUAAAAAACAUGUAUGGAAAAAAAAUGAGAACACAUUAAACUAAGAAUUUUCUAGAUGUGCAAACAAAAUAGUUCUUGCUAAAUAUUCAGUUUUAUUGCUAAGCCCAAGAUGAACUUUUGACCUACACCAAUCGCUACAGGACUCUCAGAAGCAGUGAAAAACAUUUCAGCAACACUCCUCUUUCACCAGCAACAAAAAUUUGUUACAAAAUAUCCAUAACACUGUCCUAUUGUGUAUCACAGCAGCUCAUUGCAACAGAAUUUAACUACUACAGCUGAUAACUAUUUGGCUAGUUAGUAUUAUUUUGAGUGAAAGACAGUAAAACAAUAGGAACAAUUUCACAACCAUUUUAUUUUGGGUAGAAAUGAAUUCGCUGAAGCAUGGCUUUCUCAGCUGUUGCAUAUCGAUUCAUCCCCUCCCAUUUUUCCAACACUUUGUCACCUGAAAAAAAUGCACACAAGGAUUAAUUAAUACACUGUCAAAUGUUUUUGAAAGCCGUACAUAUUCAAAAAGCCAUACAAGGUUGUAAUACAUGUUGAGUUUCAUUUCUGCUAUAUCAGAAUGUUUGUUCAUGUACAGUUACAUUUUCCAUUUAUACAUUUCUGAAGCAAAAUCAAUUUUUUUUUGUUAUUACAUACCUUUUUUCAAUCAUUUAAACACAAUAACUUAAAAAUAUUUAGAGAUAUUGAAAGCUAAGCUUGUCAAGAAAAAAACUACAUUUUUGGGUGCACAUGACCAGUUCCAGUGUGGACCAGAUACUUAAAAAAUGCAUAAAACUGUCUUUUUUGAAGUUUCACAAAUCAGAAAAAGGUUUAACAAAUCACAAACUUUAUGCAUUCUGCCACGAGCCUAGAAUAAUCUAAAACAGAUUUGAAGAGUGCAUGUGUUGUAGUUUAUGAGCUAGAGUAGAUUAAACAUGGUCAGAGUGGAGAAAAAUUGGGUGUAUUAGCCCUUUAGCCAUUUCCCAAAUCGGAACCUGGAAUCGGAAGCUAACUUCAGCCUCAUAUGAAAACUAGUGAAUGAAACCACUUACAAAUUUCUGAAAAUCCAAGGCUUUUUAAUAAAAAAUAAGGAUAUUAAUAACGUUUCAGUCAAGUCAGUAUUAGAAAUCGUGGUCUUUAUAUCAUAUCUCAAUUAUAUAUAAAGUUAAUAUUAUUACUUUAACUGUUUUAACAAACAGGGAGAUCAGAAAAAUCAAAUAGCUAUGUUAAAGCUAAGCUACAAUUGCUGACUGCUUUAUUGAUGUAGCUUUUGUGUUAGCUUGUGAACUCCCUGCAUUAGUUUUAAGACUGCGUGUUAAUAUUGAUACAAUAAGCUAUGAAACACGGUGACUUUGCAGCAAUUCUCUGGUAAAGCUUUAAAUGCUAUAGUGUCUACAUUUAAGAACUAAGAACGGUUACAAACAUUAGUUAAUUUCAUCCUUACCUUUCCUCUUUGAAACCCACAGAGUAUGUUUUUUUUUAUAGAACACUUUUUAUACAACAAACAGGGCAAACAUUCUAUCAGUAUCUAAACGUGUUGAAUCAGCUUUUACCACAGAAUUACAAUAACAAACCCAAAGAAAAGGUAACUAACAUAAAAACAUGAAAGUGUGAGGGCCUUAUUCUUGAAGUUUGAAAAUAUCCAACAAAGAAGAUAGUCUCUGGGCAUCUCUCUUCUCCAUAUAAAAUAAACAUUUCUUAAACAGUUCCAAGUCCUUUUUCCAUCCGCUUAAAUGAGGCUUAACCUUGAUGAAUUUACAUCUGUGAAUACCGUAAAAUGUUUUCCCAGCAAAAUCAAAACAUUUACCAAGAAUUCUUGAUUUUUGUCCUUCAAAAACAACCCCACUUUUAUAGUAGACCAGUUAAAUGGACUUACUGUUACAUGCUUAGACAACAACCAAGUGUGAACAGAACACCAAAAAUCUUUGACACACUCACAUUCAAAAAAAAUAUAUUCAACAUUUUCAGUAUUACUUUCACAAAAACCACAUGAAUUAUUCAUCCAGUUAAAUCUAACAUGUAGAAAGUUAUUGGAUGGAUAAAUAUUUAAAAUUUUGAAUGUUACCUCCUUCGCUUUAUGUGGGAUUGGAUAGGACAAAUAUCUCUUCCUUAUUUUCCUUCUCUCAGAUUCAUUAAAGUCAUGUCAAAUAUAUUUCCUUUUUAGCUGGUAAGGGUAAUGUUGGGUUGUAAAAAUCUUACAGGCAAAUUUGUUAGAAAAUUCCUUACUAUUUAAACUAAUUCCUUCUACACAGAGAUCUCAUCUCUGACCCCUUUGUAUCCAUCCUUGUUUGAUGAGUCAUCAUUUUGACAGGAACUGGAAUGGCUUUAACGACAUUCUUGAAUUCACUUGGUGAGCCUAUCAGACCAAACUUAUUACACAAAUCUUCAUAUUUGAAAAGAUUGCCUUGCUCAUCCAAUAAAUCAGAUAUCACCCAAAUUCCUUUAUCCAACCAACUUUCAAUAAAUAACGAUUUGAUAGAAUAUAUCUAUUGUUCCACAAGGGUGAAUUGUGUGGGGUGAAAUUAUGCUUGAUUAGGUUCCAGUAAAGGAUAACUUGUUUAUGAUAGUCAGAUAGUUUUAUAGGUAAUUUUCCUAUAUCGUAGUCACAACGCAACACAAAUUCUAUCCCUCCAACUUUCUGAAAUAUUGCACUGGGAAUGCUGAACCAAUGACAUGGUUUGGGGAAUGCGUUUAACCCAAGACAUGCAGAAUCACACACUCACAGAUCUUAUGGUAAAAAAAAAGAAUCUUUAUUUUAAAACGGGAACUGAAGGUGCACUGGAAAAGCCCAGGGGAGAUCGAGAACAGGAGCACAGCAUCUGAGGAGGGGAGAGCAGAUACACACAGUAAAUUUCGCAGUGUUAAAAAUGCUGUGUCAAAUAUCAUUAACACUUUCAGAGUUUUUAUGACAACAUAUGUUGACCGCCCCCUAGUGUUGGUGAAAAUAUCCGGAGUUAUAAUGGGAAGCGUUAAUGUGACUCCAGAAAGCUCCGCCCACCUGUCCUGACUCUAACCGUCCAAGAUUUCAGCAGCGCCACUGGACAUUUUUCUCCAUUUCGGGUUCAAUCCUACUGAGGGAAGGACAGCAGAACCAUGUUGAUUAAGGCCAAACUUGGUGAUGUUCAGAGAUUUAUCAGAAUAACCGAGCCGAAUCUGAAAGAGUUUUUGACUGCAGCAUUCUCAAAGUUUGGUGUGCCAGCUGUGACGGAAGGUGUCAAGGUUUUUGAUAGUUCAGGAACCGAGUUGGAUGAAGAUGAAUUUGAGGAUGUAGUUAAGGAUCCAUCAGCUGGAGUGCUAACCAUCAGAUAUGAUUCAGAAUCCAUCUCAGUGACACCAUCUCCUGAGCAGUCUCAACUACUUUAAAAUGAGUUGUCUGGCUCCCAAGAAACGAUCAUCCUCACAGAGAGUCCUUCUCGUAAAAGGCUGAGGCUCGACACAGAAGCCAAACAUUUGGUGAAUUCCAUUCUUGCCAAGAAACCUGGUGGGGAACACAUCAUAAAUGAAUAUAAUCGAUUCAAGUCCCUGUCAGAUGACACCAAAAGGAAAAUGGUGAACAUACUGGUAGCUGACAUGACAGAGAAAUUUGGGUAAUUUGUCGAUUGUCUAAAGCCACACUGGAAAAUCUGCCAAACAAGUUCGCUCAAAAAAUUUUUUUUUCAUGCUUCUUAACAUUCUAUUAUAGUAUGGUUAUAAAUAUUUUUGGGAGACAAAAAAGAAAUAAUGAAGUGCUUCUGUUGAAUUUGUCUAAAAUCCUCAACCAACAACAUGGCUUAGUCCACAACCAGUGAUUGGACCAUCUGCUCUUCUGUCUCACCGAACCACAACCCUUUCCUGAAUCGUACAUUAAUUACACACUUGUGCAUUUUUGCAGCAGAACACCAAUGGUGUGAGAGGUUCUCCGCUCUAAUAUCAGAGAAGGACAAACAGCCAGCUGCUACCACCAACUUAAGGACAAACUACCAAAAUGAAAAACACAUUUGGAUGUAGAAAACGGCGACUGAUGUUUAGCGCCCUCAGUAGGGAUGGGUACCUUUGACAUUUGAAUUGAUAUGG